RNAcentral lists this ribosomal RNA (497 nucleotides) under uncultured bacterium. RNAcentral describes it as "partial 16S ribosomal RNA". It matches the Rfam family "Bacterial small subunit ribosomal RNA", at positions 28 to 507 of the family's 1533-position model. The record is from RNAcentral.
GAUGAACGCUGGCGGCGUGCCUAAUACAUGCAAGUCGAGCGAACAGACGCGGAGCUUGCUCCUCUGACGUUAGCGGAGGACGGGUGAGUAACACGUGGAUACCCUCCCUAUCAGACUGGGAUAACUUCGGGACACCGGCGCUAAUCCCGGAUGAUCUAUUGCACCGCAUGGUUCAAUAGUGAAAGACGGUUUUGCUGUCACUUCUAGCUGGUUCCGCGCCGCAUUAGCUAGUUGGUAAGGUAAUGGCUUACCACGGCAACGAUGCGUAGCCGACCUGCGAGGGUGAUAGGCCACAUGGGAACGUAGACACGGUCCAGACGCCUACGGUAGGCAGCAGAAGGGUAUCGGCCGCAACGGUCGAAAACCUUACGGAGCAACGCGGCGUGAGUGAUGAAGGUCUUCGGAUCGUAAAACUCUGUUAUGAGUGAAGAACAAAUGUGUAAGUAACCAUGCACGGCGUGACGGUACCGAAUCAGAAAGCCACGGCUAACUACGUG